Long non-coding RNA from Schistocerca cancellata (South American locust), 1371 nucleotides. RefSeq lists it as uncharacterized. Lineage: Eukaryota; Metazoa; Arthropoda; Insecta; Orthoptera; Acrididae. The record is from RefSeq and is a predicted model, not a curated record. The transcript has 2 exons.
UAUUUUUUAAUCCUUUCAGGCCGGCCGUGUGUGGCCGAGCAGUUCUAGGCGCUUCAGUCUGGAACCGCGCGACCACUACGGUCGCAGGUUCGAAUCCUGCCUCGGGCAUGGAUGUGUGUGAUGUCCUUAGGUUAGUUAGGUUUCAGUAGUUCUAAGUUCUAGGGUACUGAUGACCUCAGAUUUAAGUCCCAUAGUGCUUAGAGCCAUUUUGAAUCCUGUCAGUAUAGAUUCAAUAGAGAUGAAUUAGGGCCCUAUACAAGCCACACAUUGUAAAUCUGUCACAAGUGAGCAUUAAAAGGUCAAUUCAGGACAGUAUCCAUUACUUGAAGUCGUGAGGUCGUAUCGCCAAGAAUUAUUACCAGAUGUAAGUUGUUCUUUGAUACAAGAUCCUUAAAUUCCUGGGUGAAGUGUCCCCUGAAGGAAUUAAGGACAAACAUUUCCUUCUGUUAUGCAAAGAGCCUGGUAUUUUGUUCAAAGUAACAUUCACUGAUCUAGCAUUGGGCCAUUUGUCAUCCAUCCCUCUCCUUGACAUCUAAAGAAAAGUCAUGCAGGCAGUUUCUUUUCUCUCAUAUGGAGCAGCUUCCUUCAGUCUGCUAGUGUACUCAGCAUUACUGUUAUUCUCAUCAAGAGGUGAUGUAUAUCAAAAUAAAAGUGUCUGAUCAGCUUAGCCCAAAUAGACUAGCAAAUAGUGGUACUGUUUUCUUAAAUUGAUUAUGUGAUAGUGAUAAAAAAGUAGAUUUUUGUCAGAUGCUGGGGGAGGUCGUCGUGCCAGCAUUGUUUUGUGUUGUAAUGUAGGCCCGCCAUCACCAUCAUCAUCAUCUUCACCACCACCACCACCAUCACCACACACCAGUCAGUACAUGUUUUGAAUUCUGCAAUGCAUGCAGUUGGAAAAUUUCUCUCUGUAUCCUGCACUAUGUCAGCUAAUUUGUCAAGUAUUGAGGAAGCCUUCAUUGCAUUUAUUUUGCACGUACUGCUGCAAUUCAUGAAACCCUCCCUGCAUUGGACCUCAGAGAGUUUGGGAUGAAGAAUUGGUGUUCCUUAAUUUAUUUGUAAUAUGAUGCCAUCUUGGAACAUACUCUUCUGUGACAACAGAUUUUCUUCCUGCUGCAAUGUUUGUUGUAUUGUCUGUGUGAACCAAAUGUGAACUGUGAUUUCAUGUAUCCAUGUUUCUCAUUAGUCACUGCUUUUGUUUUCAUCCAUUAUCGAUUGCUAUAAUUUACAGUUUAUGCAGUUCUGACAGUAUGAGCAAGCUGAACGACAACUCAUUAUUUUCUUGAUUCCCACAGCUGAAUUGGCCGAAAUUGUUCUGCUUUGUAUUAACAGUACAAUUCGAAACUCGUUGCCAACCUUGAAAAAAAAAAAAAAGAA